Molecule: unclassified non-coding RNA, 148 nt
Organism: Papio anubis (olive baboon)
Lineage: Eukaryota; Metazoa; Chordata; Mammalia; Primates; Cercopithecidae
Rfam family: Metazoan signal recognition particle RNA
About the family: The signal recognition particle (SRP) is a universally conserved ribonucleoprotein. It is involved in the co-translational targeting of proteins to membranes. The eukaryotic SRP consists of a 300-nucleotide 7S RNA and six proteins: SRPs 72, 68, 54, 19, 14, and 9.
Source: Ensembl
GCCGGGUAUGGUGGUGCCUGCCUGUAGUCCCAGCCACCCGGGAGGCUGAGGUGGGAGGAUCACUUGAGCCCCGGAGGUUGAGGCUGCAGUGAGCCAACAUCACGCCACUGCACUCCAGCCUGGGCAAUAGAGUGAGACCCUGUCUCAA